This is a long non-coding RNA of Acanthopagrus latus (yellowfin seabream), 1237 nucleotides long. RefSeq lists it as uncharacterized. Lineage: Eukaryota; Metazoa; Chordata; Actinopteri; Spariformes; Sparidae. The record is from RefSeq and is a predicted model, not a curated record. The transcript is spliced from 3 exons.
UGUAGCUCAGCUGUAGCUCAGCUGUAGCUCAGCUGUAGCUCACCUGUAGCUCAGCUGUAGCUCACCUGUUGCUCCUCCUCCUCAGUCCUCUCUGAACUGUCUUCAGCUCAGCAGACAUACUGGUCAGAUGUCAAUUAAAACCAGAACUGCAGCGGUUCAUCAGUCAGUCAGAGGUGUGUGUGUGAGCUCCAGCCUGCAGGUGAGUCAUGAGUCAGAUUAUCUCAGUCUGACGUGACUCACAGCUUCACUCUCUCCUCUGAUUCAGCUCCACGGCGUCCUGAGAGUCCCCUCGGUGGGACUUUACUCACUUCUGUGGUAAGAAAUGCUGCUUCAUGUCAGUACAGUCAGCACCAGGAGGAUUCUGGGAAACGAACCGAGGGGUUUAAUGGCAGCCAGGACUCAUUUCACCAAACAUGAAAACACUCGACACAUCUGCUGCUGCUUUGCGUUCUGUGCAUCUAAACUGACUGUUGUGGAUUAAUAUGCCUAAAGAGUCCGGACCGAGUCUGUUCCGGUCUGAGGAGAUUCGGAGACGCGAGGACAACAAAGUGGAAUUGGAAUCUGUGGAUGUUCGUGUGUAGCUAGCUGCUAGCUGCUAGCCGCUACCCACACGGCCCACCUCCUGAGUCGACAGACACACCGGCAGGUCCAGAACCAGACUUAGGUCACAGGAUCUGUCAGCAGGACGGGUGGAGGUGAUGGAGGUUCAUCUGAAGGAUUCUGAUCGGGUUCUGACAGGAAGCGCUCAGCUUGUCCCCGAGCUGCGUCCUGGUGUCUCUGCAGGGUCCAGGUGUCUCUUCCUGUGGGCGCUGGUUGAUGAGGACAAGGCUGCUGGGACUCUUUCAUCCGGCUGCCAGUUAAUGGAGGUGCAGCUCAGGUGUGUCAUUGUGUGCAGGCUGAAUGGAGGCGUGACACCGACUGAAACUGAUGCUCGCCUCGUUACACACCACAGAAGAAGAAGCAGGUGUCCAAACAGCUGGAGAGGACGGACGGACAGAUGGACUCGAACUGUCUCCGUCCCAUUUGUUUCUCUUCCUCUGGUCGGCUGCUCUUUCUGUGGGCGGGGCCAGGAGUGUCAGAGGACACGACGUGUAAAGAAACAAACACACGUUACUGAACAACUCUUUAAACACAAACACGAAGAUUGUUUUAUGAUUCUUAACUUUUUAAUCUCAGUCGUCAGAACUGCUGAACUGAAGUUGUAACUGAAUAUUUUGUGAGUGAAGAUCAAACUGAA